Molecule: ribosomal RNA, 443 nt
Filed under: uncultured bacterium
Lineage: Bacteria
Description: partial 16S ribosomal RNA
Rfam family: Bacterial small subunit ribosomal RNA
Source: RNAcentral
CCUACGGGAGGCAGCAGUGGGGGAUAUUGGACAAUGGGGGGAACCCUGAUCCAGCGACGCCGCGUGAGUGAAGAAGUAUUUCGGUAUGUAAAGCUCUGUUAGCAGGGAAGAAAGAAAUGACGGUACCUGACCAAGAAGCCCCGGCUAACUACGUGCCAGAAGCCGCGGUAAUACGUAGGGGGCAAGCGUUAUCCGGAAUUACUGGGUGUAAAGGGAGCGUAGACGGUUAAGUAAGUCUGGAGUGAAAGGCCGGGGCCCAACACCGGGACUGCUCUGGAAACUAUUGAACUUGAGUGCAGGGGAGGUAAGCGGAAUGCCUAGUGUAGCGGUGAAAUGCGUAGAUAUUAGGAGGAACACCAGUGGCGAAGGCGGCUUACUGGACUGUAACUGACGUUGAGGCUCGAAAGCGUGGGGAGCAAACAGGAUUAGAUACCCCUGUAGUC